AAUUCUUCCCAGUCCUCUAAGCUCCGGCCCUAGGCCGGUCUGCUCCGUUCAUCGGACCUCCGUGCUCAGCCUCACGCGCCGUCACCAACUCCGCCACACACGGCGGUCGGGAUCCGAAAAGCUUCGCUUUUCUCGGCGAAUCUAAAAAGUACUUCUUUCUCCUCUGUUUUUCAAUGUAUUAUAUGUAGAUUGCUUGCAAUAAAAUAAAAAAAUAAAAUAAAAGUAGAAAGAGAACAAUAGAUCACCUUCGUUUCUCGUGAAAUCUUUCUGGUAUAUUAUUGCGAAAAUAUUUGGUGUACAAUAUCUUUGUGGUGUAUCUCUGGUGUUUUUCUCUGUGUGUGUGUAUAAAAAUCUUUGCGUGUGUAAGUGUGUAAAUCUCUGCCUAUGUAUGUAAGUGUGUAAAUCCCUACCUAUGUGUGUAAAAAACGUAAGUCUCCUCUAUGUGUGUAAAAAACGUAAGUCUCCCCCCCUCUUUGCAGGUUUCAAGAAGGCUUUAUAGCAUGGAAGCUGUUCUGUUUUGGAAAGAAAUCUUAAAUUUCUUUCCAUAUCUGUUUAGGUCUAUCUGCUGAUUUUAUUUGUUUUGAUUUCCUUCCAUUUCUUGUAGGUGACCGCGAAAAUCACGAUGGUUGCUGGCGUGGACUCGUGCUGACGAUGAUUCGGCACGAUCAAUGGAAAUGGCCCUAACACGGUGCUGAAAUUUCGGCCCACUGGUGGAGGCGUGAUCGGUGGCCGAGCUGAAGGGUCGUGGUGCGUUGAAGGGCCUGUGACAAUGCAUUGAUGACCUGCGGCAGAGCAUUGAUAGCCAUCUCGAUUUUGGAGAACUGGACAGACGCUCCCCGAAUCUUCCAAAAGCAGUGGCGGCUCGAGGAGAAAAAUGGCAGAAACCCUUGGGUUUUUUGCGUUGUUGUAAUAGGCUGGGCCAGUUGGGACGCUUUAGUCCUGGGCUAAUUGUAUAACGAGUUUAAGUGUGGGUUUAGUUUAAGUUUGGGUUUGAAAAUUAUUGGGCUGAGUGGGUAAUGGUCUGAGGUUUUAAGUAUUUGGGCCACAAACACUUGGGCUUUUGUAAACUGGAUUGUAAUAAAUAAACACUUAUUUAUUGCUA
RNAcentral lists this long non-coding RNA (1102 nucleotides) under Gossypium barbadense (sea-island cotton). RNAcentral describes it as "long non-coding RNA (GBAR_LNC001155)". The record is from RNAcentral. Lineage: Eukaryota; Viridiplantae; Streptophyta; Magnoliopsida; Malvales; Malvaceae.